This 253-nucleotide ribosomal RNA is filed under the name uncultured bacterium. RNAcentral describes it as "partial 16S ribosomal RNA". It matches the Rfam family "Bacterial small subunit ribosomal RNA", at positions 524 to 776 of the family's 1533-position model. The record is from RNAcentral.
UACGGAGGGGGCUAGCGUUGUUCGGAAUCACUGGGCGUAAAGGGUGCGUAGGCGGUCGGGUAAGUCUGAUGUGAAAUCUCACAGCUUAACUGUGAAACUGCAUUGGAUACUAUCCGGCUUGAGGAAUGGAGGGGAGACUGGAAUACUUGGUGUAGCAGUGAAAUGCGUAGAUAUCAAGUGGAACACCAGUGGCGAAGGCGAGUCUCUGGACAUUUCCUGACGCUGAGGCACGAAAGCCAGGGGAGCAAACGGG